UAGAGUAUUCUCCCUCAAACAGUUUGAAGGUUAGAGAUCCCUUGUUGUGCAUUCACUUGCCUCCAUGGCUAAGUGGCUUAACCCCAACUAUGUCGUGGACACCCUCUGACGGAGUGACUUUGACAUAGUCAAAGAUCAAUGACCUAACCAUAAGACAACUAUGAUGCCUCAGGUUAAAUGACUACUUUGUAUUAUCCCAACCAUGAGUUCUCAUGUGACAUGAGUAUGAGAACUCCUUGUUGAUCGUGCUCAGUGGACUCAUUUUCUAUUGAGCACCUAUAUGCUUGUCUUGGUGUCAGUCACACCAAUGACUCGAGACCAGUCACUCUCCCUAAGAGAAGACAUAACACGUACUAAUCUUAACGGACAGUCAUUGCCCAAUUGGCAAUCCUAUGAUCAGGAACGUUUAGGAUAUGUAUACGGAAGAGAAUGGUCUCAUGAAUCUAACUUCUUUAGAUCGCAUUCUCCCAAUUACAUAUCCCUUGGACUUAUCGUUUAAGCAUAUAACAUUUAUAUGAGAUGGCUUCAAACAAUAAUCUUUGCCCUUUAAAUUAAACUAUAUUAGUUUAACAUGUGAAAUGUCCGUAAAGUAUCAUCAUCUGAUUGGUUUUAGGGCACAUUUCCAACAAUCUCCCAGUUGCACUAGAUCCAAUCAGCUUGGUCAUCAAUGAUGAUACCUCUUCUGUAGUCAUUUCAAAAAUGGCUGAGUAGUAGGCCUAAACAAUGGAUAUCUAUAUGUUAUCCAUAAAAGCAACCUUGAGAAUAACGACGUCACCAUUACACAUGAUUCUUAAUCAUGUGGUUUAGUCUCUCAUUUGAGUUCGGAUCUUGAUGAGACCGUGAUUCUCUGGCUUGAGCUAUCACCCCAUUAGUGUCGUAGUGUCGGUACACUUGAUGCGAAAUAUAUAAGCACACAAAUUAAACCCUCUUUUUAUCAAAUGUAGUGAAGUAUGUAAGUAGGGAUCGUUCUGGACCGGGGAUUAGGAGGGAUUGCUAAACACUUGAAAACUGACUUAGAAAUGUAAAAACAAAGUUUAAAACACUAAACUAGACUCAAAGAAUGUAAAACUAAAGUUUGAAACACUGAAACAAACCAAAAGACUCAAAACAGCGAACAAACACUCAAAACUGCCUUAAAAACACUUUUUGGGCAGUUUUGAACACAAACACAAAUUUGGACGAAAUUGGGUUACAACUUGAAUCAAAACACUUAAAAACACAAAUUAAAUGGAUUUCUAACUAAUCUAACACUUUAAAAUAAAGGGGGAUUUGGUUUUGACGAAAUUGAAAACAAGACAAAACUUUGUAAUUAAAACAAAUUCUAGAACGAAUUUGAAUGAAACUUAUGGAUGGAAGGCUAGCUAGGAGGUUCUUCUCCACACAUGUCACACUUGCAUACAAAAUGAUCUCCAAUUGCUUUUCGAUAAACUACGAAUACUUAACGCCCCAGAUUAACCGUGAAUUGCACUAAUUAACCCUCAGUUUUUCCACAAGUUAUUGAGUUGGAUGAUUGCAUACGAUAACCCAAAACAUUCCCUACAAGUUCCCUACAUGAAUUGCAUAAUAGAGAUACAAGCAAGAAUCAUUAAGUUCUAUGAAAAACAUAAGCAUUGACGAGACACUCGUUACUAUGAAUUGCAUGAAACUUAUGCCAAGAAUUUACUUAACGCGAUUGUGACUAGCAACCUUCACUACUUGCGAAUAUAAGUUCAUAACAAUUAGGUGAAACUCCCUUAUAUUCUAGCAUCAAAUUCAUGCAUGAAAAUUAAGCGUGCACUUUCAACCACCAUACACAAAUCAGUUUUUAUACGAACGGAUAAGUAAAUUGAAUUCACAACUUAUGAAACGCAAUUAGAAGUAAUCAAAUCAUAUUGCAAGCAUAAACAUGGUUUCGAAUUCCCCCCCCAGCCAAAGGGGGGUUUAGUUCCUUAUACUUACAAAACAAAGAGUAUUGAAUUUAAACAUUGAAAACAAGGGAAAGAAAACACCUAAAACGUUCCAGCAAUCCUAACUUGAAUGGCAUGCACGUCCAGGGCUUCUCCUCCUUCCUCUUUGCUGCGGCACAAGGUUUUGGGGACAUGUUUGGAUGGUAUUUGAAUGGAGGAAUGGAUGGGAGAUGAUAUGGUGGUGUUUAGGAUGGAUAUGGGGUGUGGCAAAAGAGAGAAAGAUGGCUGAAAAUGUGUUUGUGAUGUAGUGUAUGAAUGUGUAGAUGGGUUUGGCUAAAAGAAUGGAUGGAGAAUGGGUGGUGUGGCUGAUUGUGUUUUGAUGUAGUGUAGUGUCUUGUGUUCUUCCCUUCACUCCCUAUUUAUAGAAGCUCCAAAGCAAAGAAUCACUCAAGUGGCUUCAAUAAACAAUACAAAUAAAGACCAAAAUGAUGCAAAAAACGGCUAGUUUACAUGCUCUUUUAUCAUUGUGUCUUGCCUUAAACAAAAGGCAAUCAUUCCUCUCUUGCUAAUUCAACUCCUUUAUAGCUGUCCAUGUGCCUUCAUUCUUCAAUUUCCGAUGCAUUUUCCUUGUAUUCCAUCCCUUUUCCACAUGUACUAGCUGUUAGACAACUUUCACACACAUGUUUUGCAUCAUUUCAGCUUGCAAUUAUGUUUGUA
Molecule: long non-coding RNA, 2603 nt
Filed under: Malus domestica (apple)
Lineage: Eukaryota; Viridiplantae; Streptophyta; Magnoliopsida; Rosales; Rosaceae
Description: long non-coding RNA (MDOM_LNC008592)
Source: RNAcentral